RNAcentral lists this ribosomal RNA (253 nucleotides) under uncultured bacterium. Its description in RNAcentral is "partial 16S ribosomal RNA". It matches the Rfam family "Bacterial small subunit ribosomal RNA", at positions 524 to 776 of the family's 1533-position model. The record is from RNAcentral.
UACGUAGGGUGCGAGCGUUGUCCGGAAUUAUUGGGCGUAAAGGGCUCGUAGGCGGUCUGUCACGUCGGGAGUGAAAACUCAGGGCUUAACCCUGAGCCUGCUUCCGAUACGGGCAGACUAGAGGUAUGCAGGGGAGAACGGAAUUCCUGGUGUAGCGGUGAAAUGCGCAGAUAUCAGGAGGAACACCGGUGGCGAAGGCGGUUCUCUGGGCAUUACCUGACGCUGAGGAGCGAAAGCCAGGGGAGCAAACGGG